Molecule: ribosomal RNA, 451 nt
Filed under: uncultured bacterium
Lineage: Bacteria
Description: partial 16S ribosomal RNA
Rfam family: Bacterial small subunit ribosomal RNA
Source: RNAcentral
AGCGAACGCUGGCGGCAUACUUAACACAUGCAAGACGCACGAACCUUUCGGGGUUAGUGGCGGACGGGUGAGUAACGCGUAGGAAUCUGUCCACGGGUGGGGGAUAACUCUGGGAAACUGGAGCUAAUACCGCAUGAUACCUGAGGGUCAAAGGCGCAAGUCGCCUGUGGAGGAGCCUGCGUUCGAUUAGCUAGUUGGUGGGGUAAAGGCCUACCAAGGCGAUGAUCGAUAGCUGGUUUGAGAGGAUGAUCAGCCACACUGGGACUGAGACACGGCCCAGACUCCUACGGGAGGCAGCAGUGGGGAAUAUUGGACAAUGGGGGCAACCCUGAUCCAGCAAUGCCGCGUGUGUGAAGAAGGUCUUCGGAUUGUAAAGCACUUUCGACGGGGACGAUGAUGACGGUACCCGUAGAAGAAGCCCCGGCUAACUUCGUGCCAGCAGCCGCCGUAA